AACGAACGCUGGCGGCAUGCCUAACACAUGCAAGUCGAACGAGACCUUCGGGUCUAGUGGCGCACGGGUGCGUAACACGUGGGAAUCUGCCCUUUGCUUCGGAGUAACAGUUAGAAAUGACUGCUAAUACCGGAUGAUGUCGAAAGACCAAAGAUUUAUCGGCAAAGGAUGAGCCCGCGUAGGAUUAGGUAGUUGGUGGGGUAAAGGCCUACCAAGCCGACGAUCCUUAGCUGGUCUGAGAGGAUGAUCAGCCACACUGGGACUGAGACACGGCCCAGACUCCUACGGGAGGCAGCAGUGGGGAAUAUUGGACAAUGGGCGAAAGCCUGAUCCAGCAAUGCCGCGUGAGUGAUGAAGGCCUUAGGGUUGUAAAGCUCUUUUACCAGGGAUGAUAAUGACAGUACCUGGAGAAUAAGCUCCGGCUAACUCCGUG
This 433-nucleotide ribosomal RNA is filed under the name uncultured bacterium. Its description in RNAcentral is "partial 16S ribosomal RNA". It matches the Rfam family "Bacterial small subunit ribosomal RNA", at positions 29 to 507 of the family's 1533-position model. The record is from RNAcentral.